AAGUUGGAUUGGAAAUUCUAUAAUCCAACCACUUUCAAUCCUAAACUCUUCAGAGAUGACAAGAUCCAUUGGCUCCAGCACCACAUGUGUUCUGCUCAUUGCUCUCCUUCUCGUUGCUUCCAUGGAAAUGCCAGUGGUAGAAGGAGGAAGAGGAUGCAAGCAGGCGAGCAAGUCGAUGACCACCUGCACAGCCCACCCAGAGUGUGACAAAAAAUGCAAAGGAGAAAAAGCAAAGAUGGGACUUUGUCGUGGCCCAGAGGCAAAAAGUGCUGGUGCUACAUGUGUUAACAUGAAUGGGAAUUUCGUAUAACUUUCUCAAUAAUAAAAUAGUUCUAAAAAUUUUUUGAGAAAAAACAUAUAUAUAUAUAUAUAUAUCUCUCUACUUUAGACACAAGUGUGCUCAUGUAGUGGCGGACCUGUGUAGGUGCAAGGAGGUGCGCCCGCACCUCCAGUAGCCGGAAAACUCCAUUAGAGGUGCUGGCGUUACACCUCUACUUGAAACCCCAGACGCAUGCAACCUGUUUGACGAAACGCCUAAACUACUUGGGCGCUGCGCUGCAUGCAGCGCGCAAGCUUUUUUCUUUUUUAAAACAAAGUCUGGCCAAAACAACGUCGUUUUGGAUCAGACUUUAAAAAAGGCACUGUGUUUUUUGUUUUUUUUUAACCUAACCAAAAUGACGUCGUUUUGGACCAGGGUUUAGAAAAGAAAAAAAGGAAGGGGGGGAAAAAAAAGAAGAAACUGCUGGGCCAUUUUGUGGGCUUUUCAAAGGGCUUCUAUAAUUUCUUACUUAAUUGGGUUUUAAUUGGGAGUUCUCUUUAUUCAAUUGGGUUUUGGGAAUUCCUUAUUUAAGUGGAAUUGUGAAUUCUCUUUAGAAAAGACCAAUUUAACAUUAACCAA
Long non-coding RNA from Prunus dulcis (almond), 898 nucleotides. RefSeq lists it as uncharacterized. The transcript is spliced from 2 exons. Lineage: Eukaryota; Viridiplantae; Streptophyta; Magnoliopsida; Rosales; Rosaceae. The record is from RefSeq and is a predicted model, not a curated record.